This 497-nucleotide ribosomal RNA is filed under the name uncultured bacterium. RNAcentral's name for it is "partial 16S ribosomal RNA". It matches the Rfam family "Bacterial small subunit ribosomal RNA", at positions 28 to 507 of the family's 1533-position model. The record is from RNAcentral.
GAUGAACGCUGGCGGCGUGCCUAAUACAUGCAAGUCGAGCGAACAGAUGAGGAGCUUGCUCCUCUGACGUUAGCGGCGGACGGGUGAGUAACACGUGGAUAACCUACCUAUAAGACUGGGAUAACUUCGGGAAACCGGAGCUAAUACCGGAUAAUAUAUUGAACCGCAUGGUUCAAUAGUGAAAGACGGUUUUGCUGUCACUUAUAGAUGGAUCCGCGCCGCAUUAGCUAGUUGGUAAGGUAACGGCUUACCAAGGCAACGAUGCGUAGCCGACCUGAGAGGGUGAUCGGCCACACUGGAACUGAGACACGGCCCAGACUCCUACGGGGGGAAGCAGUAGGGAAUCUUCCGCGAUGGGCGAGAGCCUGACGGAGCAACGCCGCGGGAGUGAUGAAGGUCUUCGGAUCGGAAAGCUCUGUUAUUAGGGAAGAACAAAUGUGUAAGUAACUAUGCACGUCUUGACGGUACCGAAUCAGAAAGCCACGGCUAACUACGUG